UGUGGACCAAGAGCUAUUUUUUGGUGGGCCAGGAACCGCUUAUGAAAAAUUAUCUUAAAAGUAUUUUAGUACUUUUCAUAUCCUUUCAAUCAUUAAACAGGAUGUUUGGAGAGUAAAAACGAUGGCUUGUGCCGACGCCGCCGGCGGCCAGGCCGCCGCUGCCGCCGCAGCCGCAGCAGGCCACGCCUGCGCCCACGUCCGCGCCCAUGGCGAGCUCGUCGUCGCCAUUCGACCGCACAACAACAUCAAUGACGAUAAGACGGACAGGGGCGAGACCGAGGAGGCGCAGAGCAAGUGACAUGAGGAUUCCGCUGCCGCGUCGGUGCAGCUGACCUCCGCCGCCGAAGCCAUCGGCAUGCCAACUCCGCAGCGGCCGCCCGCCUCGCCAUGCGGCGGCCGGGUCGUCCUCCUCGUCCCGGCGCUGCUGCUCUUCUCCAGCACUGCGCACAGCGCGGAGGAGUGUUGAUGAGGGUGCUGGUGGGCGAGACGAAGCCGCAGCGCCAUGGCCGACGGGUCUACGGGGUCGACGGGUUUCGGCCGUACCCAGCCUCCGUACGAUCUUCGCUGAUGACUAAUGACUAAAUUAUCUCUAAUUAAAAUAAAACACAUGCUGUUAAAAUCAACGAUCCAGAUAUUUUUGAUGGGGAGGAACCACUGGUUCCUCUCAAGCACCGUAACAA
Molecule: long non-coding RNA, 680 nt
Organism: Panicum virgatum (switchgrass)
Lineage: Eukaryota; Viridiplantae; Streptophyta; Magnoliopsida; Poales; Poaceae
Exons: 2
Source: RefSeq, a predicted model, not a curated record